RNAcentral lists this ribosomal RNA (384 nucleotides) under uncultured bacterium. RNAcentral describes it as "bacterial SSU rRNA". It matches the Rfam family "Bacterial small subunit ribosomal RNA", at positions 29 to 416 of the family's 1533-position model. The record is from RNAcentral.
AUUGAACGCUGGCGGCAUGCCUUACACAUGCAAGUCGAACGGUAACGCGGGGCAACCUGGCGACGAGUGGCGAACGGGUGAGUAAUGCAUCGGAACGUGCCCAGUAGUGGGGGAUAGCCCGGCGAAAGCCGGAUUAAUACCGCAUACGACCUACGGGUGAAAGCGGGGGACCGUAAGGCCUCGCGCUAUUGGAGCGGCCGAUGUCAGAUUAGGUAGUUGGUGGGGUAAAGGCCUACCAAGCCUUCGAUCUGUAGCUGGUCUGAGAGGACGACCAGCCACACUGGGACUGAGACACGGCCCAGACUCCUACGGGAGGCAGCAGUGGGGAAUUUUGGACAAUGGGCGCAAGCCUGAUCCAGCCAUGCCGCGUGCGGGAAGAAGGCC